CCCUUAGACGUUCUGGGCCGCACGCGCGCUACACUGACCAGUGCAACAAGCAUCCGUCCUUGGCCGACAGGCUCGGGCAAUCUUUGAACGCUGGUCGUGAUGGGGAUAGACUUUUGCAAUUUUUGGUCUUCAACGAGGAAUUCCUAGUAAACGCAAGUCAUCAACUGGCAUUGAUUACGUCCCUGCCCUUUGUACACACCGCCCGUCGCACCUACCGAUUGAAUGGUCCGGUGAAGCCUCCGGAUUGGCGCGCACCUCGGUGCCGCCGAGAAGUUGGCUAAACCUUACCAUUUAGAGGAAGGUGAAGUCGUAACA
This 315-nucleotide ribosomal RNA is filed under the name uncultured eukaryote. RNAcentral describes it as "partial 18S ribosomal RNA". It matches the Rfam family "Eukaryotic small subunit ribosomal RNA", at positions 1470 to 1796 of the family's 1831-position model. The record is from RNAcentral.